This 22-nucleotide non-coding RNA is filed under the name Arabidopsis thaliana (thale cress). Lineage: Eukaryota; Viridiplantae; Streptophyta; Magnoliopsida; Brassicales; Brassicaceae. The record is from RNAcentral.
UUGACUUACGGUUAAUGGAUGU